GCAUUUCUCCUGCAGCGAAUUGGUAGUUUGCUGAGGAAUGUAACAUAUCCUGUCCACUGAGGCCAGGCAGGGCUGCAGGUAAAUUGCUUCUUGGAACAGAAAGCCUGUGAGAGUCAGCACAGUGGGCCUAUUUAAUAGAAUUAUUUCCUUAACCUUGUGUUCCCACCAUCCUCAUCUAUCUGUUCCCUAACAGAAAGACUGGUUCAAGAUCCUCCUUGUGGCUGGGCACUAGACCCUGUAAUCCCAGUGUGGCUGAGGCAGGAGGAUCACAAGUUCAAGGCUACUCUCAGCAACUUAGCAAGGUACUAAGGAAUUUAGGGAGAGCCUCUCUCAAAAUAAAAAAUAAAAAAGGCUGGGGAUGUGGCUCAGUGGUUUGAGUGCCCUGGUACCAAAAAAAAAAACAAAAACAAAGAUCCUCUUUCUCUGGCCAUUCACUAACUCAUGUUUUUCUUGAGAUCUUACCCAUCUCUCUUCUGCAGACAAAUUUUCAGGAGCACGGACCCUGCAUUCCCCUGCUUGCUCGCUGUAUCUUUCAGGAAAGUCUCUGGGCCUGGGAGAUAACCCAGCACUCACUUUAUAGGAUUGUUGUCAGGAGUAAAUGGGAUGCUCCACAGAAAGACCUUGAACUUAACAAGUACCCAAUGAAUAUGGACAAUCACCUGUGAAGAUCCUGCAGUCCCAGAGCCAUGAGUCUCCUAGCUCAGCUGAUGAUUAGGUGUGCGAGUCCUUGGGUCCCAGGAGCCCCUUUCCCUGUUGGUACCCCUUGUCUGUUCUGGAAAAUGGGCACUACUAGGUAAUCCAAGGAGGGAUUGCAAUGCAGGGGACUAGUUACAAAAGAUUGGAGGAGCUGGGAGUGCAAGAUGCUGAGGCAGAGCAGAGGCCCUUGUCCUUAAGCUGAAAGGACAGGAGGAGGUGGUUACCAACACCAGAGAAUCCAAGCCUCCCAGUGAACACUGGGGCCACCCAGGAGGAGCGAUGGAACCAAACUAGUUGGACUACUGUGUGGUUUCUCCCUAACUCCCACCCUUCCUCCUGGCAAUGGUGCUAAGGUAGAUGGUGGAGUCGGUGCCUGCGACAUAGAGCAGAAGAGGCAGGGCGAGGAGGGACCGGGCUUGUUACUAACCCUCCUGCACUUGAGUGUUCUAAACUGAGUAAGAAAAGUGGGGGAAGAGAAGGAACUGCCUAUGAUGUCUGGGAGGAUGAUUGGAGAAAGGCAGCUCAGAGUCUGGUCAUUCACUGAAAAGGUGCUCAAGUUGUUCCUGCUCAGGAUCCAAGGCCCGACGUCGUCACUCCCCUGUGUGAUCUUAUACCAUUUUGCUCAUACUUUUAUCAGGGUGUUUCUCACAUGGCAGUGCCGUUUGGAUCUAUUACCUGACUCUUCCACCAGAGUACGGCUCCCAGGAGCCCCUUUCCCUGUUGGUACCCCUUGUCCUCGGGUGCAGACCCUGCAGGUCAACAUGCAGCACUGCACCAUCCAAAGCAGCCUCCCAGCAUGGCUGGGGCUGAGGACUGUGGAUUCCCAGCCGGGGUCACUAACAGGAUUUUAAAGGAGGGAAAGAAAAGAGGGAGGAAGAGACAGGAGGUCAGAGGAAGAUGGAAUGGCUCGGGGUGGGGGUUCAUUCCAGGUCAUGAAUAUGUAGCAAGACUUGUGAGGUCUGGUUUCUAAGCUACCAGGUGUCAAUGGGACUGGGGCUGGGGCUCAGCGGUAGAGCGCUUGCCUGGCACGGGUCAGGUGCUGGAUUUGAUCCUAAGUGCCACAUAUAAAUAAAUAAAUAAAUAAAAUAGAAUAAAGGUAUUGUGUCC
RNAcentral lists this long non-coding RNA (1803 nucleotides) under Marmota monax (woodchuck). Lineage: Eukaryota; Metazoa; Chordata; Mammalia; Rodentia; Sciuridae. The record is from RNAcentral.